AGACACAAAGUGGUGGCAGCAGAUUAGGCAGCAUCCCGGUGGGCAGGCACCCAGGGGCAGCAUUUGGCUGGGGCCCGGCUGGCCACGCCAGGCCGGCCUGGCUCCCUGCUCUGACUGGCUGCAGAAAGAGGAGGACGGAGACAUUUCCUCUGACACCUCUCACGCUACAGAGAGACGACCUGGGGCGGCUUUUAGCCUGCUGAGCCUUCCUCCGGGGGACAAGGGUCUAGGACAAGAUAGGAGGGAAUGGAAAAGAAGCCAUCCAACCCCCUGCCCCAAUCUGUAGCUCACCGCGUGUCAGAGCCCAGACUCCUCUUCAACGGAACAACAAAUCCCAGAGCACCUUCCCCUGAGCUCCCGAGUCAGCCUCCUCGUCUUUCUCAGAGCCGCGUAGUACUCCAGGGUGGAUCUACAAGCUUAUUCAACCGAUGCCCUGCACACGGACACCUGGGGCAUUGGAAUCUAUUGCUGAUGCAAACGCGGACCUGAUUGCCAGCACUGUGCUGAGGAAUGGGCCUCCACGGCAGUGAUUCCCAGAAGACGGCCGGGGUACAGGUGUUUUCUACUGUUUCUCGUGGAAAGGAUUUAAAGGCCGACAGACCUGGAUUCAAAUCCGCCUGAAAACGCCAUCAGGGGCUGCGAGACACUGAGAAAGUGGCUUGAAUUCUCAGAGCCUGUGUUUGGGUUUUUUGUUUGUUUGUUUAAGUGAAACGAUGCUGCCAUGCAAUAUAGGAUUAGUCUCUGGUGCA
Lynx canadensis (Canada lynx) is the source of this 749-nucleotide long non-coding RNA. RefSeq lists it as uncharacterized. The record is from RefSeq and is a predicted model, not a curated record. NCBI's taxonomy places the organism in Eukaryota, Metazoa, Chordata, Mammalia, Carnivora, Felidae. The transcript is spliced from 3 exons.